Molecule: non-coding RNA, 1845 nt
Organism: Camelina sativa (false flax)
Lineage: Eukaryota; Viridiplantae; Streptophyta; Magnoliopsida; Brassicales; Brassicaceae
Source: RefSeq, a predicted model, not a curated record
AAGACCAAUUUAAGGCUAUCCCCAAUGAGGGGUUUUUAGAGGAGUUUUAAGGGAAAAGUAGGAAAAAAAUAAAUCAGAAAGAGAAAAAAAUAAGAAGAUAGUAUACUCGAUUUCGGAUAAGAGACUGUGACGUGUCAGCGAUAAGAGACGUGUCAGCGCAUGGUUGGGUAAAGAGUUUUAUCAAGAGCAAAAAAGUUUUUGGCGUUCCUUCUCUUCCGGUCUCUCUCUCGCGAAUGUUACAGUUGAUCCUUUGUGUGUUCUGUCCUAGUGUUUGAUUUUGGAUUGCAUGAACGCUUCUUCUAUUUCUCUCUCUGCUCACGGCGAAAUUUGAUUGUAUAAUAUGGUGUUGUAGGUUCGUUGAUGUUCUUGUUCCGUGGCGAUUUUGGAUGUUUCAUCUACACCGGAGACUUCUGCUGGGAUGUUGAUGCAACAGAUGAAGCUAGAACAACUCUCGUUGAUGCUAUUAAUGAAUUUCUAGUUAAUCGUUGUUAGGCCUUAUUAAUUAACGAAUCUCUGAUUUUUGUUUCUUCGUCUCUUGCAGGUUGUAUUGUUGAAGCGAUUUUUAUUAUCUGAUCUGAAUCUGAGCAUCCCUCCCUCGGCUUCUGAAUUUUCACUCCUCCGACGGUUUGAUGUUUUUUUGUUUCUCACAAAUUUUCCACUCGUUUUCUCUACUUUGCUUCUUCGAUUAGAGAGGAGAAGGAAACAUAGCUUUUAGGCAUUGAAUCAAGCAUUUUGACAACUAAAUCAAAGUUAGUUUUGCCUUCUCCUAAUGCUCUCAUUUGAUUUGCUACAGCUUGGAUCCUGUCAAAAUAUGCUUUGAUCUUUUCUCCUUCUUUCAUUUUCAGAUUUUCAAACUCUCUUCUUAGAGAUUGAAGUUUAACAGUUUUGAAUUUUUCAUUACAUUGGUAGGAUUGCUCCAAGAUUUUCCAGGCUUGAUGUGCUUAAGUUGCAGAGAGGACUUUAUCAAAGAUGAUGUCUGCUACAACAUGCUGAAUGAGUUGAAGUGCAGCAAUGUCUUUGUAGCUGUAGUAUUUAAAUGCCCCAAUCUGCUUUCUUAUCUGAUCAUGGUUUUUUCCUUUUUGCUAUUCAUCUACAUGUUGCUAUUGAUAAUGCUAACUACAAAGGCUAAACAUUUCAGAGAUUAGCUGCUUUCAGUAUGGAUUAGAUGUGAAUUGCUGCUGCUUUUUUUUUUUUAAUGUUGAUCUGUUUAAAUUAAGAGUUCAUGAGGAAAUUCUCUUUUUUGAUUCAAUGGUGUGUGGCUUUUGAAUUGUGCAGAUAUGCAAACUGAAAUAGGCUAAGCUGCUUCUAAUGAUUAUCCUGAAAAUUGAUCUGACUCUGUUCUUCUCUCUUUCUUCUUUCCACUAGGAUUUCCAGAUUUACUAACUUCUUUGUUAUUCUUCUUCUUAUAGGGUUUGGUAUGUCUCUCUCUCUCUCUCUCUCUCUCUCUCUCUCUCUCUCUCAAUUCAAUCUGGUCACCACCUCUGCAUUCCUACUUGUGGAAUUCUCGCCAAUGAUUUGUUUUAAGGUCUCCUCUCAUUUUGGAAACCAAUUUUUUUUUUUAAAGUGCAGAGCCAACAGAGAUGCCUCAAUAGAUGGGGAUGAAGGCGAAACAAGCAGUCCAGCUACUCAAAGUAUGAAUGUGGAACACUUUCAAAACAACAACACCAAGCUGCAAGCGUAUAUGUACUCUCAACACCAAGCUACUUCUUCCACUAGUAUCUACCUACUUCAAAUAAACUUGGAUUUGUGUCAGCAAAAUGUAUAUGUACUCUCAAUACUGGACUGGUGUAAUCAUUUUCACCAUGUGAGAUAUAAGUAAAUUUCUAGAGCCUUGUUUCAAAACAA